Molecule: ribosomal RNA, 453 nt
Filed under: Staphylococcus aureus
Lineage: Bacteria; Bacillati; Bacillota; Bacilli; Caryophanales; Staphylococcaceae
Description: partial 23S ribosomal RNA
Rfam family: Bacterial large subunit ribosomal RNA
Source: RNAcentral
UAAGUAAGCUUUGAUCCAGAGAUUUCCGAAUGGGGAAACCCAGCAUGAGUUAUGUCAUGUUAUCGAUAUGUGAAUACAUAGCAUAUCAGAAGGCACACCCGGAGAACUGAAACAUCUUAGUACCCGGAGGAAGAGAAAGAAAAUUCGAUUCCCUUAGUAGCGGCGAGCGAAACGGGAAGAGCCCAAACCAACAAGCUUGCUUGUUGGGGUUGUAGGACACUCUAUACGGAGUUACAAAGGACGACAUUAGACGAAUCAUCUGGAAAGAUGAAUCAAAGAAGGUAAUAAUCCUGUAGUCGAAAAUGUUGUCUCUCUUGAGUGGAUCCUGAGUACGACGGAGCACGUGAAAUUCCGUCGGAAUCUGGGAGGACCAUCUCCUAAGGCUAAAUACUCUCUAGUGACCGAUAGUGAACCAGUACCGUGAGGGAAAGGUGAAAAGCACCCCGGAAGGGG